GAACUUAGUUGGGAAAUUACCACAAAUAGCAUAUUCAUAGUACAACUUUUCAUGUUUACACUAACCAUUUUUCUCACUUUUAAUGAAUGGUAAAAGACAAUUAUACCCUUAAGGUUAACUAAUAUAGACUUAGGGUUUAGAAUUGAGGGGUGGGAUAGGGUUUUUGGAAUGUGAAAUUUAUGAUUCUAAUAAAUAUAUAAAUAAAUACUUAAAAAAUAUAUAAAAUUUUUUAAAAAAUAGUUUCAAACAUAAUUUUCUUUUUUCAAAAAGAAAUUUGAAAAAAAAAAUUCAAAAAAAAUUUAUAAAAAAGUUCGAAAAAAGUAUAAUUCGAAAACAUAAUUUUUUUUUAUUUUUUUUAUUUAUUUAUUUAUUUUAUUUAUUUAUUAUUUUUUUUUUUUAAAUAAUGAUUUAUUAUAUAUAUAAUAACAAAUGUAUAAGAGUCUUUUGCUACUUAAUGAAGAAGGUAUUUUUGAAAAUGUCUCUUUAAUGGUGGUAAAAAUGAAAAGUGGUACCAUAAAAGUGGUAAACAUGUAAUUUCCCCAACUUAAUUUCUAGUUAGGGCUCUCCCUGAGGGAUAGAUAAUUUAAUGUAUUUUUUGUAAAGAAAUUAGGAGACAUACAC
RNAcentral lists this long non-coding RNA (621 nucleotides) under Brassica rapa (field mustard). Its description in RNAcentral is "long non-coding RNA (BRAP_LNC001125)". Lineage: Eukaryota; Viridiplantae; Streptophyta; Magnoliopsida; Brassicales; Brassicaceae. The record is from RNAcentral.